Peromyscus maniculatus bairdii (prairie deer mouse) is the source of this 1365-nucleotide non-coding RNA. The record is from RefSeq and is a predicted model, not a curated record. NCBI's taxonomy places the organism in Eukaryota, Metazoa, Chordata, Mammalia, Rodentia, Cricetidae.
UCUCUCCCUCAUCUUUUUUCUUCGUUUCUGUCCCCAGCAACAAGCCAAUCUAAUCCCAGGGUUGAACCUCAGUGCACUUGGCAUCUUUUCUACAGGACUGUCCGUGCUUCCUCCACCAGCAGGGCCCCGUGGGGUCCCCCCCAGUGCCCCCUACCACCCCUUCGCUACCCACUCCGGAUACUUCUCCAGUCUGUACCCUCAUCACCAUUUCGGCCCAUUCCCGCAUCAUCACUCCUACCCAGAGCAGGAGACUGUGAAUCUCUUCAUCCCAACCCAGGCUGUGGGUGCUAUCAUCGGGAAAAAGGGGGUGCACAUCAAACAGCUGGCUCGAUUUGCUGGUGCCUCUAUCAAGGUAAGAUCAUUGCUGUCAGCUGCCUGUCCCCUUGGUCUCCUCUGGUCAGUGCCAGACAGUUCUUACACCACCCAGAGACAGAAUCUGCAGAAUGUAUUUCCAGGACCCUUCCUGUCUGCUCCCAUUCCUCAUCAUAGUCCUUUCCAGUUCCACCAAACAACUACGUUAGAAGAAAGAUACUAGUACUGACCAAACUGGGUCCUCUGAGGAUUGGCAUUGUCCCCUCUUCUCAGAGGAUAAAAGAAAGCUGAAGAUCUUCCCCCCCCACCCCCCGCCAGCUGAGGGGAUGCGCUCAAGUGGAAGGAGCAAUUGUGCUAGCACUCAGCACACCGGUGCGUCAUUAGUCUGUAGCUAGAGUUUUCCUGCCUUGCCCACAGUCAGGACAAAUCUUUGUCACCCGCCAGUCCCAUAGCCUCUCAGACCCAACCAAGUAAACACAGAGACUUAUAUUGCUUACAAACUAUAUGGCCAUGGCUUCCCGUCAUCUUCACAUACUUUUUGUCAUGGCGGCUGGCAGUGUCUCCUUUUGCCUUCCUGUUCUUUCUUUUCUCCUCUCUUAGUCCCGCCUAUAAUUCCUGCCUAGCCACUGGCCAAUCAGUGUUUUAUUUAUUGACCAAUCAGAGCAAUUUGACCUACAGACCAUCCCACAGCAUUAGUCCAUGCUUCAAGGACUUACAGACUAUGAGAAAACAAAAAUUGAAUGAAGAACUUUCUGGAAGGUGCUGAUAAAAUCAUGGGCAGACAAGAGCUGAUGGCAUCACCUGUUAGGAGGUCAGGACUGAGCAGAAGGCUAGGGACGUCCUCUUGCUUGCCUCUCUCGGUUGUCAAGGAUUGUUUGCCGUGGGCCUGCUUCAAGCCCGGCUGUCAGCUCUGCUAAGACGCUGAACACUGCCGGGAACACUUCCCACUGCUGUGGAAGACAAUUUGCUACCAUGAGACAACCCCAAAUUAUGAAACCGAGUCUCAUGACUUGGAGAGAAAGAAUACUUACACUUUCUCCCUAAGAGCUGGAG